GGGGCUGUGGCUCAGCGGUAGAGCGUUUGCUUUGCAUGAAGAGGGUCUCAGGUUCAAUACCCACCAUCUCCU
Molecule: transfer RNA, 72 nt
Filed under: Sphaerodactylus townsendi
Lineage: Eukaryota; Metazoa; Chordata; Lepidosauria; Squamata; Sphaerodactylidae
Description: tRNA-Ala
Rfam family: tRNA
About the family: Transfer RNA (tRNA) molecules are approximately 80 nucleotides in length.
Source: RNAcentral